GGGUCGUGUCGAGAGUUGCGGGGGUGGGGGACGGGAUCGCUGUAUGUGAUGUGUAUGAGUCAGAAUGAGAGCUGAUGCGUGAAGGAAGUCUCUUUCAUUCUCGUGUGUCACGCGAUCAGCGCCUGCCAGCUGGAAAGAUCUUUAACUGUUUGCAGCUAAGCGGUUUUGUGCGUACUCAAUGCCGCACUGAUCACAGUUCCUGGAAUUUAAGGGGCCUAACUGAUCGCCUGUCUUUGGCCACUGUGAAUGGGUAUCCAGACUCGGGAGGAAACCAAACUGGGAAGUCCUGCAGGCGAAAUCAUGCGCGCGAUAUACAACCCGAAAGUGGUUUUGGUGGAUGUGAGUCUCCUAAUAAAUUGUGCGGCGCUUUCAUUAUUUUUAAGAGGUGGAAAAUUUAGUGACUGGUGGAGACAGGAGGGCUGAUUCCACUGAAUUAUAUUCGUGACUAUUAAACAAUUUAUAAUCCGGUAA
Rhincodon typus (whale shark) is the source of this 471-nucleotide long non-coding RNA. RefSeq lists it as uncharacterized. The transcript is spliced from 2 exons. Lineage: Eukaryota; Metazoa; Chordata; Chondrichthyes; Orectolobiformes; Rhincodontidae. The record is from RefSeq and is a predicted model, not a curated record.